RNAcentral lists this long non-coding RNA (603 nucleotides) under Homo sapiens (human). RNAcentral describes it as "non-protein coding lnc-COX7A2L-3:1". Lineage: Eukaryota; Metazoa; Chordata; Mammalia; Primates; Hominidae. The record is from RNAcentral.
UUUUUUUUUUUUUUUUUUUGAGAUGGAGUCCCGCUCUGUCACCCAGGCUGGAGUGCAGUCGCAUGAGCUCGGCUCACCGCAACCUCCGCCACCCGGGUUUAAGUGAUUCUCCCCACUCAGCCUCCCAAGUAGCUGGGAUUACAGGCAUGCACCAUCACAACUGGCUCAUUUUUGCAUUUUUAGUAGACAUGUGGUUUCACCACGUUGGCCAGAUUGGUCUCAAACUUCCGACUUCAAGUGAUCCGCGCCCCCUCAGCCUCCCAAAGUGAAUGGUAAAUAACAAUGAAUCUAAUCCUAGAGCAGGGAGGCAGCACAGUAAGAGGAAGACUUGGAUUUUGAGUGCAAGGUUUUACUGCCAAAUUCAUAUAUUAAUAACUAAAACUUACCUGGUAUUAUAUGGGCAUACUCAAGUCCCAUAGUCAGCCCUGCACAAUCCACAUAUACAAAAACUGAGGCCUCUGUAUACACAGGUUUGGCAUCCCUGGAAUACUGUAUUUUUCAAUCCACGUUUGGUUGAAAAAAUCCACAUAUCAGUGGACCUGCCCAGUUCAAACUGGUGUUGUUCAAGGGUCAACUGUAUUUCCUUAUGAAGGGGGCUCUUCC